AUAAAUAAAUAUCGGUUGGAAUUAAAGGUUCUUCCGGUCGUUGUCGUGUGCUUCCGGUUGGGCUGCUUUGAGUCUGUAGUUUAAAUGUAAGCUUAACAUAAACAGACAUAAAACGAUGCAAGUUAGUCGACGCUGUAUGGACAGAAUUUUCUCGAUCGUUCUUCUGGCCGUGGUUCUGCUGUCCUGGGGCUUCGUUAUCUACGGCACACGGAUCGCCGCCCAAUGGGAGCUGGAGAAGAGAGAACUGAUCAAGACGUGAAACAACAACAAACAUGACUUCCGUCGAUACAGACUCAUCUAAAGCCCAUAUCAGAGGAAAAACCCUUAUGAAACCAGCAGAGAUCUGGAGAUCCAGACUGAAUCAACGCCAGAAAUGUGUUCAGAAUAAUGUGUGAUUUUUUUUUUAUUUUUUCCCUCUCUCUCUCUUCUUGAUUUGUUUCAUUAAACGAUGUAAAUACUUCAAUUUUUAAAUAUAUAUUUUUCAAACAGAAAGUGUUUUUCUGAUUAAUAUUUGAUCAAACACUGUAUUUUUUUUGUCAGAUCCAAAGAAAAAUAUUUAAUAAUAUUUAAUAAAAAAUUAAAACAA
Long non-coding RNA from Ctenopharyngodon idella (grass carp), 586 nucleotides. RefSeq lists it as uncharacterized. The record is from RefSeq and is a predicted model, not a curated record. The transcript has 2 exons. Lineage: Eukaryota; Metazoa; Chordata; Actinopteri; Cypriniformes; Xenocyprididae.